Long non-coding RNA from Drosophila biarmipes, 1392 nucleotides. RefSeq lists it as uncharacterized. The record is from RefSeq and is a predicted model, not a curated record. The transcript has 4 exons. NCBI's taxonomy places the organism in Eukaryota, Metazoa, Arthropoda, Insecta, Diptera, Drosophilidae.
CGAUCAUGUCACCUAAGUAUUUUAGGCUUGGGCGAGAUUUAAUUGUGGCUUCCCCAAUUUUGAUAGUAGCCGUCUCCAUUUUCUGCCUGCUACUUAUCGGGCCUGUUUCGGUCUUAUGCACUGCCAAGGCUAGACCUUUUUAUUCGACCCAUGCGCUUGCUCGUUUCCGAGCUUCGCUGCAGAUUCUUUCCGCGUCUGGGAGUUUCUCUGCCGUAACUACUAUGGGUACGUCAUCCAUAAAACCAAUAAGUCAUGCCACCUCGGGCAUCGUGAUCCUAAGGAUUUCGUCGUGCAUGAUAUUCCACAAUAAAGGGCCUAGGACUGAUCCUUGGGGGACUUCCCGGUGACCCUGUGAGUCGAUUGCCCAGAUUCAAAUUAGUAUAGGGGUUCAGAAACAUCGAUGGAAACAAAAAUCGAUGUUUUUGGACCAUCGAUGUUUCUAGGGCCAUCACUGUUUAAAGGAGAAGACACACGAAAGGGAAUGGUAUUGCAACGGAAUGUAGAGUAUCCGUCCCAACAAAAAAGAAAGUUGGAUAAAUAUGUAAUGAUAAUGAUAGCACGGGACGUUCAACCAUUUAGCAUGGUUGUCGAUGAUGAACCUAUUUCAGAGACACAAUACUACCUAAGCUGUACAAUGAAUUAAGAAAGGAUCUUGAAAGUGAGCUCGAAGGUGUCCCGUAUGUGGCAAUUACCACGGAAGGAUGGACUUCCCGGGCAAUUAAGCCUAUAUAACAGUAACAUGUCAUUUUGUGAACAAGAAGUUCAAAUUAGUGUCUGCAGCCUUGCCGACGGUCCUAAACGAAUGAGGUCUUCUACAUAAAGAUUUAACUUUUGUUACCGAUAACGACGCAACUAUGAAAAAGGCGUGCGAGCAUCUGGAAAUUAAACAUUUUCCAUGAUUUGCACAUACUAUUAACUUGCUGGUUCAAGAAAUUCUGAAAAUUCAGAUAAUUCGACCUAUUUUAACCAAGUGCAAGGCUGUUGUCGCAUUUAUUAAGCCCAGACCGACUGCAAUGGCAAAUUUUAAGGACGCUCAGAUGGUGACAGACCCCCUUGGAUUAAUUCAGGAGGUACCAACAGUGCCUUCCAAAUGAACGAACGAAUUUAAGAGACCAACGAGGCACUCCCAAUAGCAUUACUAGGGACUACAAAGGCUCCUGUUUCCUGAUUCCUUAAAUUUUUGGAUGCAAUGUUUAAAGAACAUGGAGCCUUACCAGGAGCUUGCAAACAAUUUUUUGUGUAUUCCUGCCACGUCCUGCGAGUCCGAAAAAGCUUUUAGCAUGGCGGGUCAAAUAAUUUCCGAUCGCCGUACCCGUUUAAAGAGUAACAUCGUAGACCCAUUUAUUUUUAUUACUAAAAAUUAUGAUCUAAAUCGUCUGAUCUAAAACCGUU